Molecule: long non-coding RNA, 1243 nt
Organism: Uranotaenia lowii
Lineage: Eukaryota; Metazoa; Arthropoda; Insecta; Diptera; Culicidae
Exons: 4
Source: RefSeq, a predicted model, not a curated record
CUAGGGGUGGAACAACUUUGACACAAAGUAAGCGCGGUGAAGAAGUGGGCACGGAAGGCAAAAUUUUGACAGCCUAUUACAUUGUUUACGUUUUGUGUCAAAGAAAAUCAAUGAAAAGUAUGACGAAACAGUCGUGCUUUGGUAGUGGUGUUUUAUAUGACGUCACCAUCAACUCGAUUUAAAUCAUUUUGUUUUUUUACAACAAACAACAGUGGCUAUUUUUCUACCCCGUAAUGCCGUCUUCGUAAUCUGUCGACGACGAAUAUUAAUAUCGAGGUAAUAUUUGUGCGACAAAAAAUAAACAACCGAAGUACCGAAGUGCCGGAUGCAAAGGGGCUUGAAUUCGGAAGCGCAUCACCACCGGCUUCCUGGUAGUUUCAACAACAGUCCCAAACAAGUGCGCCCUAGGAGCAGUUGAUAAAUGACAACAAUAACAAACUGCAGCAGAAGUGUAACCCCCAGUUGGCUAUUCGAAGGAAAUUUUAUACGAAUUCUCGAACAUCCAGCCGGAUAAUCUGUAACAGAAAAAGUCAUACAAAAGUUUCAGUCAGUUCGGAAGUGUCAGAAACGAAAACAACAGGAGUACAAAUAGAAUUCAUUCGAACCCAGGAAAUUAUCAGCAAACAACAGCAGCAGGGAUAGGUUAUACCAGUUGUGAAUAUGUUCUACCACUACCGAGAAAUCCAGGAAAUUACGUGUGACGGAUGCGCUACUGUAACACAACAGCUUAUUCUGAGGCCUCUAAAAUCGAAGGGCUAUUCCUCAGAAGAGAAAAUGGUGCUAGAAGUAAGUUGACUGAAUCAUUCUUGCUAAAAUUAGAUGAUAUUUUUGUAUGUCUCGAUGAAAUUGAUGUUUUUUUCGACAGCACAGCACAUACACGAAACAAAUUCGUAGCUCUACGGUCCCUUAAAUCAACCUGGUUCGAGUUUAAGUUCUACACGCUGCGCAACAUGCUUCGAAGGAGGAAACCGAUGCGGGUGCGGAUUGAGUGGAUUAAAAAUAUUUCGCUAAACCUACGGCUUUCGCAUGGUGAUUGACGAUGUGUUGCAGAAAAGUGAAGCAAACAUUACCGGCAAACCUAUCGGCCAGACAGUCAGGGGAAACCCAUUCUACGGGAUGAAAAUCCCGCAAAAAAAAACUAGACAAACGCAGGUCAGGAUGCCAGAGUAGAGGUGCUCUCCAACUGGUAAUCAAGGGCUCAAUCAUCAUCAACCAAAUCACCACCGACCUUUGGCUAGUUUGA